Cercocebus atys (sooty mangabey) is the source of this 1497-nucleotide long non-coding RNA. RefSeq lists it as uncharacterized. The transcript is spliced from 3 exons. NCBI's taxonomy places the organism in Eukaryota, Metazoa, Chordata, Mammalia, Primates, Cercopithecidae. The record is from RefSeq and is a predicted model, not a curated record.
UUUUGGCAGUUAUUAAGCCUAACAGAAAGAACAUGACCUAGGGAUUUGGUGGUCUAAUUUCACAUUUUGGACCAGUCAUUUUUCUGGCUGUGUAUACUUGAGCUAAUUUCUUACGUUGUUCACUUUAAUUUCCUCAUAUAUAAAUUCAGUUAACUUUCCUCCCUAUGUUCCCACUAGAAUUACAGAAAACCAUACCUGCCUGGAAUUGGUACAAUUUGCUAAGCACUAUGCUGGGAAUUUCAAAUCAAAGAAUAUGUAAGAUGCCAUCCCCAUCCAAGGUAAGUCUACAAAUCCAGUUAAUAAAAUUACAAAAGUCGAGAUGAUGUCUUUGAAGCAAAGGUGAUGUGCUAAAUUGCAUUCUGUAGACCGGCCCUGCCACGACCCUUUCUGUAUGCCAAAAACAAGUUGGGAACUGCAUUGCCCAAUAUCCCUUCUACCCGCAGUUCCACAUUUGAGUGGACCAAUGAGAGGCACUCCUCCAGGUGUGAAAAGAGCAGUCAUUCUUGGGAACAAUAUGCAGGGCUGUGUGGCUGGCCAGCAUGGCUCUGAGGGCCAUGUGCCUGAGGCUGUAGCUUGAGUGAGCUGGUAAGAGCUCCCACCAGUUAUGGGGAUUCUCACAGUCCACAUCCACAGAGAGCUCAUGAGAACCAACUGCCUUGGUGCUUUCAGUCUGAGGCCCUCAGGGCAGCCUCCCUAACUUUUGAUGGGUACUCUUCUGACCUUCCCAUUCCCAGAUGUCCUAGGGCUUCUGAAACCUUAAAUCUUUUAGUCCUUCUGACUCAGCACUGAUGAUGCAUUUCUGUUCAUAGACAAGAAGACAGAGUUUAUUAAUUUUUUAAAAAUUACUAUUUGAGCUUUGGAGAGCCAGCCAAGGAAUCAUGGAUGUAUGAUAUUUGACCUAGAUUUUGAAGACAGUUUCUACAAAGAGAAAAGUGAGCAAUGGCCACUCAAGUGGGAAGACAGUCUUCGAGAAGAUGGAGAAACAUAGAAACAUAUGACCUGCUCAAAAGUACAAGAUAUUUUGCGUGACUAAAAGUGGUGUGGGAGGGGCAUCCUGGAGAAAGAAGAUGCAAAGUUUAGCUGACAGCAGACCUACAAGCACCUCAAAUUCCAGGACAACCAGAGGUCUUUUCUUAAGCAAGAAGCAGCCCUUGAAACAUGUGAUCAGAAAUGCAUUUUGGAUACUUUUGCAAGAGUUCAUAAUCACAGGCGGAAAGGACUUUCCUUAUCUCAGAUGAGACUUGGGACUUGGACUUUUCAGUUGACACUGGAAUGAGUUAAGACUUUGGGGGACUGUUGGGAAGGCAUGAUUGUUUUUGAAAUGUGAGAAGGGCAUGAGAUUUGUGAAGGGCAAGGAGUGGGAUGAUAUGAUUUGGCUCUGUGUCCCCAUCCAAAUCUCAUGUUAAAUUGUAAUCCCCAUGUGUCAGGGGAGGGACCUGAAGGGAGGAGAUUAGAUUGUGGGAGUGGAUUUCCUCCAUGCUGUUCUCAUGAUAGUGA